AGUAAAAGUCGUAACAAGGUUUUCGUAGGUGAACCUGCGGAAGGAUCAUUAAUGAAUUCGGGCGCUCGACUCUGAAAUAUUGAGAUCGGCCCCAUUUCUUAAUCCACUUCACACUUGUGCACAUUUUUCCUACUUUCCUUCGGGAGAGCUUGAAAAGCUCUUGUGAUUUUAAUCAAGUCCAGGAUGUGAAUCCAAUUUGAAUAAGUUGUAAAACAACUACAAACGGUGGAUCUCUUGGCUCUCGUAUCGAUGAAGAACGCAGCGAAACGCGAAAUGUAAUGUGAAUUGCAGAAUUCAGUGAAUCAUCGAAUCUUUGAACGCAUCUUGCACUCUCGAAUCACUAUCGAGAGUAUGCCUGUUUGAGUGUCGCGAAACUCUCAACCCCGCCUCAUGCUUUAUUGCGUGUGGGUAGCUUGGGCUUGGAUCAUGAUCUUUGCAGUAAUGCGCUAGCAGAACUGCUGGAUUGAAAUACAACAAGCUGAAUCUAUAUACUUGCGGCUUGACCUGUCGUUGUAAGCACACAAAUGCAUUCGAUGGGGACGCGAGAAAAUGGAAUGAGCUUUCCAAAUGUGUUACACUUUGCAGCUUCUAUUAACUUAGAGCUCUUAGUGCAUUCUGACCUCAAAUCAGGUAGGAUUACCCGCUGAACUUAAGCAUAUCAAUAAGCGGAGGA
RNAcentral lists this ribosomal RNA (673 nucleotides) under uncultured fungus. Its description in RNAcentral is "eukaryotic LSU rRNA". The stretch from base 215 to 369 matches the Rfam family "5.8S ribosomal RNA". The record is from RNAcentral. Lineage: Eukaryota; Fungi.